AGGGCUGUAGCUCAAUUGGCAGAGCACCGGUCUCCAAAACCGGGGGCUGAGAGUUCGACUCUCUCCGGCCCUG
RNAcentral lists this transfer RNA (73 nucleotides) under Candidatus Hydrogenedentes bacterium CG1_02_42_14. Its description in RNAcentral is "tRNA-Trp". It matches the Rfam family "tRNA". From Rfam's summary of the family: Transfer RNA (tRNA) molecules are approximately 80 nucleotides in length. Their secondary structure includes four short double-helical elements and three loops (D, anti-codon, and T loops). RNAcentral also lists the same sequence under 1 other name. Lineage: Bacteria; Pseudomonadati; Candidatus Hydrogenedentota. The record is from RNAcentral.